UGGGGAAUAUUGCACAAUGGGCGCAAGCCUGAUGCAGCCAUGCCGCGUGUAUGAAGAAGGCCUUCGGGUUGUAAAGUACUUUCAGCGGGGAGGAAGGUGUUGUGGUUAAUAACCACAGAAAUUGACGUUACCCGCAGAAGAAGCACCGGCUAACUCCGUGCCAGCAGCCGCGGUAAUACGGAGGGUGCAGGCGUUAAUCGGAAUUACUGGGCGUAAAGCGCACGCAGGCGGUCUGUCAAGUCGGAUGUGAAAUCCCCGGGCUCAACCUGGGAACUGCAUUCGAAACUGGCAGGCUAGAGUCUUGUAGAGGGGGGUAGAAUUCCAGGUGUAGCGGUGAAAUGCGUAGAGAUCUGGAGGAAUACCGGUGGCGAAGGCGGCCCCCUGGACAAAGACUGACGCUCAGGUGCGAAAGCGUGGGGAGCAAACA
This 427-nucleotide ribosomal RNA is filed under the name uncultured bacterium. RNAcentral's name for it is "partial 16S ribosomal RNA". It matches the Rfam family "Bacterial small subunit ribosomal RNA", at positions 355 to 774 of the family's 1533-position model. The record is from RNAcentral.